AUAUUCAAAAAGCGGAGGAAAAGAAACCAACAGGGAUUGCCCUAGUAACGGCGAGUGAAGCGGCAACAGCUCAAAUUUGAAAGCUGGCCUUCGGGUCCGCAUUGUAAUUUGUAGAGGAUGCUUUGGGUAAAACGCCAGUCUAAGUUCCUUGGAACAGGACGUCAUAGAGGGUGAGAAUCCCGUAUGUGACUGGAAAUGUUAACCUAUGUAAAGCUCCUUCGACGAGUCGAGUUGUUUGGGAAUGCAGCUCUAAAUGGGAGGUAAAUUUCUUCUAAAGCUAAAUAUUGGCGAGAGACCGAUAGCGCACAAGUAGAGUGAUCGAAAGAUGAAAAGCACUUUGGAAAGAGAGUUAAAAAGCACGUGAAAUUGUUGAAAGGGAAGCGCUUGCAAUCAGACUUGUUUAAACUGUUCGGCCGGUCUUCUGACCGGUUUACUCAGUUUGGACAGGCCAGCAUCAGUUUCGGCGGCCGGAUAAAGGCUCUGGGAAUGUGACCUCCACUUCGGUGGAGGUGUUAUAGCCCAGUGUGUAAUACGGCCAGCCGGGACUGAGGUCCGCGCUUCGGCUAGGAUGCUGGCGUAAUGGUUGUAAGCGACCCGUCUUGA
RNAcentral lists this ribosomal RNA (603 nucleotides) under Aureobasidium pullulans. Its description in RNAcentral is "eukaryotic LSU rRNA". It matches the Rfam family "Eukaryotic large subunit ribosomal RNA", at positions 40 to 657 of the family's 3401-position model. The record is from RNAcentral. Lineage: Eukaryota; Fungi; Ascomycota; Dothideomycetes; Dothideales; Saccotheciaceae.